GCCUGGGUGGCUCAGUGGGUUAAGCAUCCGACUUUGGCUCAGGUCAUGAUCUCAUGGUUCGCGAGUUCAAGCCUCGCAUCAGGCU
RNAcentral lists this transfer RNA (85 nucleotides) under Felis catus (domestic cat). It matches the Rfam family "tRNA". From Rfam's summary of the family: Transfer RNA (tRNA) molecules are approximately 80 nucleotides in length. Their secondary structure includes four short double-helical elements and three loops (D, anti-codon, and T loops). The record is from Rfam by way of RNAcentral. Lineage: Eukaryota; Metazoa; Chordata; Mammalia; Carnivora; Felidae.